AGCUAACGCAUUAAGCACUCCGCCUGGGGAGUACGACCGCAAGGUUGAAACUCAAAGGAAUUGACGGGGGCCCGCACAAGCGGUGGAGCAUGUGGUUUAAUUCGAAGCUACGCGAAGAACCUUACCAGGUCUUGACAUCUUGCGCUAACCUUAGAGAUAAGGCGUUCCCUUCGGGGACGCAAUGACAGGUGGUGCAUGGUCGUCGUCAGCUCGUGUCGUGAGAUGUUGGGUUAAGUCCCGCAACGAGCGCAACCCUUGUUACUAGUUGCCAGCAUUGAGUUGGGCACUCUAGUGAGACUGCCGGUGACAAACCGGAGGAAGGUGGGGACGACGUCAGAUCAUCAUGCCCCUUAUGACCUGGGCUACACACGUGCUACAAUGGACGGUACAACGAGUCGCAAACUCGCGAGAGUAAGCUAAUCUCUUAAAGCCGUUCUCAGUUCGGACUGUAGGCUGCAACUCGCCUACACGAAGUCGGAAUCGCUAGUAAUCGCGGAUCAGCAUGCCGCGGUGAAUACGUUCCCGGGCCUUGUACACACCGCCCGUCACACCAUGGGAGUUUGUAACGCCCAAAGUCGGUGGCCUAACCUUUAUGGAGGGAGCCGCCUAAGGCGGGACAGAUGACUGGGGUGAAGUCGUAACAAGGUAGCCGUAGGAGAACCUGCGGCUGGAUCACCUCCUUUCUAAGGAA
RNAcentral lists this ribosomal RNA (691 nucleotides) under Limosilactobacillus reuteri. RNAcentral's name for it is "bacterial SSU rRNA". It matches the Rfam family "Bacterial small subunit ribosomal RNA", at positions 850 to 1533 of the family's 1533-position model. The record is from RNAcentral. Lineage: Bacteria; Bacillati; Bacillota; Bacilli; Lactobacillales; Lactobacillaceae.